RNAcentral lists this transfer RNA (87 nucleotides) under Planctomycetota bacterium. RNAcentral describes it as "tRNA-Ser". It matches the Rfam family "tRNA". Rfam says of the family: Transfer RNA (tRNA) molecules are approximately 80 nucleotides in length. Their secondary structure includes four short double-helical elements and three loops (D, anti-codon, and T loops). The record is from RNAcentral. RNAcentral also lists the same sequence under 1 other name. Lineage: Bacteria; Pseudomonadati; Planctomycetota.
GGACAGGUGGCGGAGCGGCUGAACGCGCCGGUCUCGAAAACCGGUUUGCCCUUCGGGGCAACGUGGGUUCGAAUCCCACCCUGUCCG